UGCCAGACUCCUACGGGAGGCAGCAGUGGGGAAUAUUGCACAAUGGGGGAAACCCUGAUGCAGCGACGCCGCGUGAAGGAAGAAGUAUUUCGGUAUGUAAACUUCUAUCAGCAGGGAAGAAAAUGACGGUACCUGACUAAGAAGCCCCGGCUAACUACGUGCCAGCAGCCGCGGUAAUACGUAGGGGGCAAGCGUUAUCCGGAUUUACUGGGUGUAAAGGGAGCGUAGGCGGUUUAGCAAGUCAGAAGUGAAAGCCCGGGGCUCAACUCCGGGACUGCUUUUGAAACUGUUGAACUAGAUUGCAGGAGAGGUAAGUGGAAUUCCUAGUGUAGCGGUGAAAUGCGUAGAUAUUAGGAGGAACACCAGUGGCGAAGGCGGCUUGCUGGACGAUGACUGACGUUGAGGCUCGAAAGCGUGGGGAGCAAACAGGAUUAGAUACCCUGGUA
Molecule: ribosomal RNA, 446 nt
Filed under: uncultured bacterium
Lineage: Bacteria
Description: bacterial SSU rRNA
Rfam family: Bacterial small subunit ribosomal RNA
Source: RNAcentral